This 260-nucleotide unclassified non-coding RNA is filed under the name uncultured fungus. Its description in RNAcentral is "sequence contains ITS2". The stretch from base 1 to 52 matches the Rfam family "5.8S ribosomal RNA", at positions 103 to 154 of the family's 154-position model. The record is from RNAcentral. Lineage: Eukaryota; Fungi.
AACGCACAUUGCGCCCGCCAGUAUUCUGGCGGGCAUGCCUGUCUGAGCGUCAUUUCAACCCUCAUGCCCCUAGGGCGUGGUGUUGGGGAUCGGCCAAAGCCCGUAAGGGACGGCCGGCCCCUAAAUCUAGUGGCGGACCCGUCGUGGCCUCCUCUGCGAAGUAGUGAUAUUCCGCAUCGGAGAGCGAUGAGCCCCUGCCGUUAAACCCCCAACUUUCUAAGGUUGACCUCAGAUCAGGUAGGAAUACCCGCUGAACUUAA